Molecule: transfer RNA, 77 nt
Filed under: Opitutia bacterium
Lineage: Bacteria; Pseudomonadati; Verrucomicrobiota; Opitutia
Description: Opitutae bacterium (marine metagenome) tRNA-Pro
Rfam family: tRNA
About the family: Transfer RNA (tRNA) molecules are approximately 80 nucleotides in length.
Source: RNAcentral
CGGGUCGUAGCUCAGCCUGGUAGAGCGCUGCGUUCGGGACGCAGAGGUCGCUGGUUCGAAUCCAGUCGACCCGACCA